UAGCUGGGACUACAGGCACCCACUAUACCCAGCUAACUUUUGUAUUUUUUGUAGAGAUGGUGUUUCUCCUUGUUGCUCAGGCUGGUCUUGAACUCCUGGGCUCAAGCGAUCCACCCACCUCAGCCUGAGCCUUCCAGAGUCCUAGGAUUACAGGUGUGAACCACUGCUCCUGGGCCUUCCUUCUCUUAAAUGUAACUGUAGGUAGGAUUUUGAAAAUUAUUGUUCUUAUUACUUAUUAUGCUAGGCAAAAAUUAAGUAGUAAAGAAUAUAUUUAAACAUUGGUCUUCAACUCUUUGGAACUAUGAAGCAGAGUUUAAGUACCGCUGUUCCAGCUUAGAUGGUAUGUGUAUCAGGAAAAGAUAAAAAAUAUGUUGAGAUAUUAAUUCAAGUGUUUUAGCAUUUUUUUUAAAGGGCGUAUAAAUUGCCUUUGUAACUGUGAUUUUCCCUUUUUAGGAAAACCUGUUUGAUUCUUUGACAGGCCAGCCACAUCCUGAAGAUGUACUACUGUUUGCCAUUCCAAUAUGCGCCCCUUACACCACCAUGACAAACUACAAAUACAAAGUGAAACUUACUCCUGGAGUGCAGAAAAAGGGAAAAGCUGCAAAAACAGCCUUGAAUAGUUUCAUGCAUUCCAAAGAAGCAACAGCAAGAGAAAAAGACUUAUUCCGCAGUGUAAAGGACACAGAUUUAUCAAGAAACAUUCCUGGCAAAGUGAAAGUGUCUGCACCCAAUCUUC
This 736-nucleotide small RNA is filed under the name Pongo abelii (Sumatran orangutan). Its description in RNAcentral is "retained intron". Lineage: Eukaryota; Metazoa; Chordata; Mammalia; Primates; Hominidae. The record is from RNAcentral.